ACUCGGGCUCCGGGAGCGGGUCGAACUCGGGCUCGAACUCCGAGUCGAGCAGCGACUCGAACUCCGGUUCCGAUUCGAACUCGGGCUCC
Molecule: transfer RNA, 89 nt
Filed under: Brevibacterium casei
Lineage: Bacteria; Bacillati; Actinomycetota; Actinomycetes; Micrococcales; Brevibacteriaceae
Description: tRNA-Ser(cga)
Source: RNAcentral